This 283-nucleotide long non-coding RNA is filed under the name Lathyrus oleraceus (garden pea). RNAcentral's name for it is "Pisum sativum (pea) long non-coding RNA (PSAT_LNC040528)". Lineage: Eukaryota; Viridiplantae; Streptophyta; Magnoliopsida; Fabales; Fabaceae. The record is from RNAcentral.
GAUAGGCUACCUCCCCUAUCCCCUCCAAAAUCUGAUAAGGACCAAUAAAUCGAGGUGUCAACUUUUUCGACUUCAAAGCUCGCCCAACACCAGUUAUCGGAGUAACACGAAGAAACACAUGAUCUCCCUCUUGAAACUCAAGUGACUUCCUCCUCUUAUCAUGAUAACUCUUCUGACGACUCUGAGCAAUUCUCAUCUUCUCCUGAAUCAUCUUAAUCUUUUCCGUAGUCUGUUGAACAAUCUCCGGUCCAACCACAGCACUCUCACCGGACUCAUACCAACA